CGCGGCCUAUCAGCUUGUUGGUGAGGUAAUGGCUCACCAAGGCGUCGACGGGUAGCCGGCCUGAGAGGGUGACCGGCCACACUGGGACUGAGACACGGCCCAGACUCCUACGGGAGGCAGCAGUGGGGAAUAUUGCACAAUGGGCGGAAGCCUGAUGCAGCAACGCCGCGUGAGGGAUGACGGCCUUCGGGUUGUAAACCUCUUUUAGCAGGGAAGAAGCGAAAGUGACGGUACCUGCAGAAAAAGCGCCGGCUAACUACGUGCCAGCAGCCGCGGUAAUACGUAGGGCGCAAGCGUUAUCCGGAAUUAUUGGGCGUAAAGAGCUCGUAGGCGGUUUGUCGCGUCUGCUGUGAAAACCCGAGGCUCAACCUCGGGCCUGCAGUGGGUACGGGCAGACUAGAGUGCGGUAGGGGAGAUUGGAAUUCCUGGUGUAGCGGUGGAAUGCGCAGAUAUCAGGAGGAACACCGAUGGCGAAGGCAGAUCUCUGGGCCGUAACUGACGCUGAGGAGCGAAAGGGUGGGGAGCAAACAGGCUUAGGUACCCUGGUAGUCCACCCCGUAAACGUUGGGAACUAGUUGUGGGGUCCAUUCCACGGGUUCCGUGACGCAGCUAACGCAUUAAGUUCCCCGCCUGGGGAGUACGG
Molecule: ribosomal RNA, 643 nt
Filed under: uncultured bacterium
Lineage: Bacteria
Description: bacterial SSU rRNA
Rfam family: Bacterial small subunit ribosomal RNA
Source: RNAcentral